Molecule: ribosomal RNA, 386 nt
Filed under: uncultured bacterium
Lineage: Bacteria
Description: bacterial SSU rRNA
Rfam family: Bacterial small subunit ribosomal RNA
Source: RNAcentral
GACGAACGCUGGCGGCGUGCUUAACACAUGCAAGUCGAGCGGUAAGGCCCUUUCGGGGGUACACGAGCGGCGAACGGGUGAGUAACACGUGGGUGACCUGCCCUCAGCUCUGGGAUAAGCCUGGGAAACCGGGUCUAAUACUGGAUAUGACUCCAUGACGCAUGUUGUGGGGUGGAAAGCCUUGUGCGGCUGAGGAUGGGCCCGCGGCCUAUCAGCUUGUUGGUGGGGUGGAUGGCCUACCAAGGCGACGACGGGUAGCCGGCCUGAGAGGGCGACCGGCCACACUGGGACUGAGACACGGCCCAGACUCCUACGGGAGGCAGCAGUGGGGAAUCUUGCGCAAUGGGCGAAAGCCUGACGCAGCGACGCCGCGUGAGGGAUGACGG